GCCCCGCUAGCUCAGCUGGAUAGAGCGACGGCCUUCUAAGCCGUGGGUCGGAGGUUCGAGUCCUCCGCGGGGCGCCA
RNAcentral lists this transfer RNA (77 nucleotides) under Gemmatimonadota bacterium. Its description in RNAcentral is "Gemmatimonadetes bacterium (soil metagenome) tRNA-Arg". It matches the Rfam family "tRNA". Rfam says of the family: Transfer RNA (tRNA) molecules are approximately 80 nucleotides in length. Their secondary structure includes four short double-helical elements and three loops (D, anti-codon, and T loops). Lineage: Bacteria; Pseudomonadati; Gemmatimonadota. The record is from RNAcentral.